Molecule: long non-coding RNA, 1695 nt
Organism: Magallana angulata
Lineage: Eukaryota; Metazoa; Mollusca; Bivalvia; Ostreida; Ostreidae
Exons: 3
Source: RefSeq, a predicted model, not a curated record
AACAGCAUCACAAUACAGUAUAUUUUGUGAUUCUCUCAAUGUUGAGUUUUUAUUAAUGAUACAUAUCAAAUAAAAAUUUAAAGAAUAUGAUACAUAUCAAAUCAAACUUAUCAAAAAACUAUUCGAAUGUGUUGUAAAAAACGAAUGCAAAAAAUAUUUAUGGUUUAUGAAACAAUUGGUUUUUAUUUCAUUUGAAAAUGAUAUCUCAACAAACGUACACAUGCAUGUAAAAUGUAUAUACAUUGCAAAAGUCAACUUCAUAGUGCUUUCGCGCCAAAGCCCAAAUACAUGUAUAUACAUUUUUGUAAGUUUAAAAAUAAGUGUUAUAGAUCUGUAGCAAACAGUCUUAAGCAUGUCAGCUUCCGAGAACUGUUUUACAAUCUAAUUACCGAGGCUUCAAAUUACACGUAUAGACUACAUAUAUAUCUACAAUCCGUAUUAUCGAAGUUUAAAAAUAGAAAUAGAGAUCGGCACACCAGACAGUUAAGGCUUCGACUUACAUUGAUCGGCCUUCUAUCCGGACCAUUGCCAUUUCAUUGUAAAUAUAAAAUUCAGACUGUUCCGGACUACAGAGGUUUUACUGUAUUAAUACAACAAUCCGGACUACAUGAGGUUUUACUGUAUUAAUACAAUCCGGACUACAGAGGUUUUACUGUUUUAAUAAAACAAUCCGGACUACAGAGGUUGUACUGUAUUAAUACAACAAUCCGGACUACAGAGGUUUUACUGUAUUAAUACAACAAUCCGGACUACAGAGGGUUUACUGUAUAGAUCUAAAAUCUGGAUAAUAGAGGUAAUACUGUAGUUUACAAUCCAAAUAAGUGCAUAGAGACGUUUUACCGAAUAAAUGAAAAUUCCGGAAAACGAUGGUUAAUUGUAAGUAUUUUAAAAAUCUGAAUAUCUAGUUUUUUCUGUAUAAACCUUAUUCCGAAACAUUGCGUUUUUACUGCACAAAUCUUAAUCUUAGAAACUGCAGGUUACACUGUAUAUAUACACAGUCCUGACAAUAUCGUGGACUUAGUGUAUUAUUCUACAAUCCGGACUACCGAGAGUGGUACAGUAAGCUCUGGCACGAUAAAGGCCCUCACUGGAAUAUCCUCAUUGAGACGUUAAGCAACGCAUUCGAUCAUUCAGUGAAGAGCUACCAUGCAAUGUAAAUUUCAUGGUCGAUUCAGUAACAGCUCUGUCAUUUGCAAGGCAUCAAAUUGUGCUACAUGUAUAUUCAGCUACAUGUGUUCGAUUUUCUUCGUGCAUGAGUCCUAAUCGGGCGCGUUUUUACCGUUAUGGCUGAGACGUCCAUGUUUAUAAAGUGCUCUAAAUUAGCAGGACUUAAUUUCCAUAACUUAUCGUCAUUAGUAUUCAUAUAUGCAGUACCAUUGAUUACAAGCAUAGUCCUGUCUUUUGGGGGGCUGCGAUGAGCAAUCGUUACGGCAUUUAAACUCUGACAUAUUUACGGAUUACGUUGAAAAUGGCCCCUAAUUGUCCGGAAAUUUCCCUCUUUUCCGACAGAUAAGAAAUAUCCAACAUCCAUAUGGAUCGCAAAUCACCCAAUAUCUGUACCGAGUCUGUGGAUGGUGCAUAUUGUUGACGCCAUUAUCGUAUCAUCUCGCACACACCCCGGCAUCAGAGACGCGGGGAACUCAAACGCACGUGCUGAAUUUGUAUACCCGUACCGUGCCGCAACACCGGAAUCUG